Tetranychus urticae (two-spotted spider mite) is the source of this 2688-nucleotide non-coding RNA. Lineage: Eukaryota; Metazoa; Arthropoda; Arachnida; Trombidiformes; Tetranychidae. The record is from RefSeq and is a predicted model, not a curated record.
UGUGGAAGUAUCGAUGAUUAUCUCUCCAGAAGUUGAAAAGUAUUUGUACUUCAUUAGUACAAUGAGAUACCAGACGAGAUUAAUUAGAGAUUAAUCACUUCUUUAAGCCUACCUUGAAAUACUUUUCUUUUUUUAUCAUUAUAUAACACUGAUUGAGUAACUGAUAAUUAUUGUUAUCAAGAAAGGUAUUUAAAUAGUGCUGUUUUGCUAAUAAAAUCAAUGAUUAUGCACAACAUAAUCGAAAAUCAGUGGAAGUAAAUGAUUAAGCUUUUUUUAUUGUAGACUCCAAAGGAUCAUUUGGUUACCUUUUGUUUUCUUUUCACCAGUUUUAUUGGUUCUGUGUUUAACGAGAUGGAUCAUUAGAUAUUGCUUUCAAGCUUUCUAAAUUGCUGGAAAACAAUUAAAUUCAAAGCUAAGACAAGUUUUCGCUUAUAUUUACAUCAUUUAUCAUAAUUCCUGCUGGGAAAUAAUCCUGUUGAUUCUUCUGUUUGGUCAAGUAAAUGGUUUAGGAGAGAAUUUGACUAGGAAGGCAAUCAUGGAAUUAAUUCGUCUCACAAGGAACCGCAACUUGCACUCACAAUUAUCCUUUCACUGGCAAUGUGUGUUUUCAAAAUGGCAGCAAUAGUCUCCAAAUGGUUGCAAAUAGAGAGGAGGACAAAAACAAAAGAAAGUAGGGAAAGACAAUCCGAGUUAACCCGAAUUCUGGUUUCUCCUAAUUGAUUGGUGUCAAUAACAAACUGAUUCUGGCAAAUUGUCUUCACUUCAAUACCAUUACCAUUAUUAUUCAAUGUUUGGUCCAGCAACUUGAGAUGGUUUACCAUUUUACAUCAUCUUUUGUCUUUCAAGUGAGGCUCUUGUCAAGUAGUAAUUCAAAAAAAGAAACUAAGCUGAAGACUAAACCUGAGGCUAAACUGUAAUGGCGGCUAUGGGAUCUCCACACCCUGUUUACAUUUAAUUAUGGACUCACACAGAAAUAUCAAGAAGAAGAAGAUGAAAAGAUGUUGACGAUGAGAAUGAUGAAAAAAAUGAUGAUGCUGAUGAGAAAAGGCAAGAAACUUGAAUGCCAUUACAGUCAUCAUCAUUGCUGGACCUGAUCAAUUUAAUUCCCAUUUAGCGAUGAAACCAAAAAUGGACUACUUUAUUCCAAUUUAUGCUGUCUUUAAAAUUUAAAUUUAGUCAUUUAAAUGGUUAUAAUGUAUACAUUUUUGCUGUUUUCGCGUGAACCAAUUUCACUAUGUUAUUUGUAGAUUAAUAAUUGUUACGAGGACAUAAAUCGGUGAAAGUGAGAUUAACAUUAAAUGGAUUAUAUUGAAGACUCUUGGAUCAUUUUUCAAUGUUACCCUCAACUUUCAAUCUCAACUGAUUGUGGCUCCUCAAAUUAGUAAUUGAAUAAGGUUUGGCUUUGAGCGGACAAGUCCAACUAUUGCUGCGUAAAGUUCAGGCUCAACACUGUGGGUUGAUCAAGUUAAUGGUCAAGUUAAAAGGAUAAAAUGUGAAGAUGAAAGCGGAACAAAGUCGGGUAUAAACAAUGGAUAAGAUGGCAAAGCCUAAAGAUUUGAAGGAAAAAGAGAAACGAUAAAUUUCAUGGUGAAUCAAUUUCAAAUGAAAUGCCAAACUGAAGUAAUGACAUCACCCAGCAAUGGAUUAUCCAAGCAUAGAUUCAGGUUCUGGCCUUAGACAAGUUCAAUUUUGAUAUAAUUGUUGGUAUUUCUUAUUGGAAAAUCUGGUUAACUUUAACCUUAUUGACACCAUAUAAUUUUCACUGACCCUGAGAUUUUCCUAUCAAUUGAUAUUGCUGUUAAUCUUUCUGGUCCUCAUCGUAAAGUAUUAUUUUACCUUGAAAGUUGAACCAAAUUAAAGUCAAUGGUUUGGAUGUUGAACAGGCAUACAAGUUGAAUCACGUAAAACUGAUUAAAUGGAUUCGCCGAAUUACCAAGAAGAAUGAAUUAGAUGUUAAUGAUGAUCAAUUUUUGUGUUUAACCAUUUUUUACCUUGUUAGGAAGUCUUAUUGUUUACCUUUUUGUUUUUCACUUGUUGCUGCCUUUACAUGAUUUUCAUUUUCAUCAUGCAAACAGGAUUUUGUUUAUUGUUUCAAAUUGAAUCAGUUAUUCACAUAGAAGUGGGCUUGUUGAUUAUGUCCAUCAAACCGUGAUGAAGAUGAGGAUGCAAGAAGAAGCAGGUAGAGUUGAGUGAAAAAAGUAGAUAACUCACAUCUUGUGGUGAAGGGAAACCUUGCUAACCUAAACACACACCUUUAUUUACAUGGAGAAAACUCGUUCCACUGGCUUUUCAUACUGCUUCACAUUUGACUCACCUUUAUCAUUAUCCAUUCAUUAAAUAAUGUUUAUGAUAAUUUAUUGGUUAAAAUCGGUUGUUCUAAUGGUGAUUGAAGAUUAAGAUAAUUUGAUGAUGAUGAUUGUCAGCCAUUAAAUGCGACUCAACAGAUUGACUUGAGUUUAAAAAUGAAAGUGGGAGAUGAAAAUGUCUAACAACUUGUUGAUCCAAUCAAAUUGCUCAUCAGUUAAUCUCUUCAAUUCAUUUCAAUCUUUUUCUUCUUCUCAAUCUAAUUAUUUCCUCUCUUCAUUUCAUCAACUUCAUCUGUUAACCAGAACCAGUAAAUCACAGGAAAUCCUAGACUAUUUCCGUCUUUCAAAUACUUGUUCAGUUGCUUUUUUUAUUCCUAAACCU